Molecule: long non-coding RNA, 1086 nt
Filed under: Nicotiana tabacum (common tobacco)
Lineage: Eukaryota; Viridiplantae; Streptophyta; Magnoliopsida; Solanales; Solanaceae
Description: long non-coding RNA (NTAB_LNC012840)
Source: RNAcentral
CUUAUUUGACAGCCUAUUACCAUAAAUCUAAGAAACAACGUUUGCCUAACCUUGGAUGGCAACCUCCUGCGCAAAAUAAUUAUAAGCUAAAUACUGACGGAGCCUAUGGUACAAAUGCAAGUGGAAUUGGAGGAUCAAUUCGAGAUUCAAAGGGUGAAUGGAUACUAGGGUUUGCACAAGCUAUCCACAAGGGAUCGUCGCUAUCAACGAAGCUAUAUGCUUUAAUUACAGGACUUAAAUUGGUCUUACAACAUAAUUUAUUACCUAUUCAAGUUGAGUUAGAUGCUCAACAUAUUAUUACAUUGUUGCAAACUGACAACCUUCCAUUUGCCAAUAUGCUAAAUGACUGUAGGUACCUCCUCCACCAGCUUAAUAAUCUGCCUGUCCAAUAUGCGUACAGAAAGCAGAAUGCUGUAGUAGACCACUUAGCAAAGGCAGCCAAAUGUUUUGUUCAGACUUCUGAUCCAUAUGUCUAUCCUGUAGCACCACUUUUUGUGAACCAAGCGUUGGAAGCUGAUAAGAAACACUUUUUGGAUGUAAAUAUAAGCCAGAGAACAGGCUCUAUUCCCAGUUCCUAUGUAAACAAUAUGAUGCAUGUUAAUGGUAGUAGUAGUAUUAAUGUAGCUAGUGUAUUACAGUAUGGCACUAAAGCCACUUGUAAUGGAAGACUCUCUGUACGCAGUACUUAAAUAUAUAUAAAUAUUAUCUUUUGUACCAAAAAAAAAAAAAACAGAGCCUUCUGCAUAUAAACUAUAAAGUAACUUUUGCCAUUUAUAAAAAAAAAAAAAAAAAAAAAAAAAAAAUUAAAAAUAAAAAUAAAAAUUGCCAUUUAUCUGAUUUACCAAUGUCUAGAAGAGCAGGCCCAUACUGCAUUCAUCAUUGUUCGAUUCACAAUAUCUUGGCUUUUCCAAGCACUUCUAUAGACCACUCAUGCUUCAAUUUUCUUGUCACUACAUGAACCUUCAUAGUUAGCUCAUUGUAAAUAGCCCAUAGGUGUUAGAUUUCUUAAAAAAUAUUUUUAAAUGCUGAAAUUGAGUUGAUAAAUAUACAACUUGUGUUUUUAUUUGAAAAGAAAAUGCUGAUAAG